This 72-nucleotide transfer RNA is filed under the name Toxocara canis (dog roundworm). It matches the Rfam family "tRNA". Rfam says of the family: Transfer RNA (tRNA) molecules are approximately 80 nucleotides in length. Their secondary structure includes four short double-helical elements and three loops (D, anti-codon, and T loops). The record is from Rfam by way of RNAcentral. Lineage: Eukaryota; Metazoa; Nematoda; Chromadorea; Rhabditida; Toxocaridae.
GGGGCAGUAGCUCAGUGGUAGAGCUCCCGGUUCGUACGCGGGAAGACCUGGGUUGGAUUCCUCGCUGCUUUC